GAUGAACGCUGGCGGCGUGCCUAAUACAUGCAAGUCGAGCGAACGGACGAGAAGCUUGCUUCUCUGAUGUUAGCGGCGGACGGUGAGUAACACGUGGAUAACCUACCUAUAAGACUGGGAUAACUUCGGGAAACCGUAGCUAAUACCGGAUAAUAUUUUGAACCGCAUGGUUCAAAAGUGAAAGACGGUCUUGCUGUCACUUAUAGAUGGAUCCGCGCUGCAUUAGCUAGUUGGUAAGGUAACGGCUUACCAAGGCAACGAUGCAUAGCCGACCUGAGGGGGUGAUCGGCCACACUGGAACUGAGACACGGUCCAGACUCCUACGGGAGGCAGCAGUAGGGAAUCUUCCGCAAUGGGCGAAAGCCUGACGGAGCAACGCCGCGUGAGUGAUGAAGGUCUUCGGAUCGUAAAACUCUGUUAUUAGGGAAGAACAUAUGUGUAAGUAACUGUGCACAUCUUGACGGUACCUAAUCAGAAAGCCACGGCUAACUACGUG
Molecule: ribosomal RNA, 496 nt
Filed under: uncultured bacterium
Lineage: Bacteria
Description: partial 16S ribosomal RNA
Rfam family: Bacterial small subunit ribosomal RNA
Source: RNAcentral